RNAcentral lists this ribosomal RNA (359 nucleotides) under uncultured bacterium. RNAcentral's name for it is "bacterial SSU rRNA". It matches the Rfam family "Bacterial small subunit ribosomal RNA", at positions 29 to 417 of the family's 1533-position model. The record is from RNAcentral.
AACGAACGCUGGCGGCAGGCCUAACACAUGCAAGUCGAACGCUCCGCAAGGGGAGUGGCGCACGGGUGAGUAACACGUGGGAACCUACCUUCUGGUACGGAACAACCAAGGGAAACUUUGGCUAAGACCGUAUACGACCUCCGGGUGAAAGAUUGAUCGCCGGAAGAGGGGCCCGCGUCCGAUUAGGUAGUUGGUGAGGUAACGGUUCACCAAGCCUUCGAUCGGUAGCUGGUCUGAGAGGAUGACCAGCCACACUGGGACUGAGACACGGCCCAGACUCCUACGGGAGGCAGCAGUGGGGAAUAUUGGACAAUGGGCGCAAGCCUGAUCCAGCCAUGCCGCGUGAGUGAUGAAGGCCU